UUGCGUACAUCAGGCAGCUCCCCAGGCUGGGACCGUCAGCUCUUACUCACUCUUCCCGAGGAGAAGCUUAAUUAGCCUCCCAGCAGCCAGGAUCACCCCAGAUGAAAGGUGCUGAAUGCGAGUAUAAGGUGUGACCCCCAUAUUUAUAACCGAGGCUCCCUUAGGUGAGAAAGGCCGGGGGCGGAGAGGCAGGCCAGAUCAGGGCCUUGCCUUGUUUAUGACAGAGGUUCUCAGGAAAAGGAGCUGGCUGUGGAUCCUGGACUCCCUCGAUGACCGGCAGCACUUGGUGGGCAGCUGCAGGCACCCACUCUUCUCCACACAGCACCCUGGACAGAGAGGUCAGCCGCUGAGGCAGGUAACGCUGAGGCAGGCAGACUCAGAGACGGGGUCAAAGGGCAGAGUCUACGGCACAGGACUCUUGAUCGAUACACGUCUGGCAAAGCAGAUGCCGCAAGAACUGUCCUUGUCCCCUUGGAUCCUGCUGGGACUCCUGAAGUCGGGUCCAGUGAGGCCAAGAAGUGCAUAGCCACCAGGCUAAGGACAGUUGCCGAGGCUGCUCUCUGAGCUCAGCUGGCAUUUCCUGGAGCCCUUCCAAGUGAAGUGCCCGGUGACCGUUUUACAGCUGAGGAGACUUGGGACAAACAAGCAACACCAAAAAGGUCACAGCGAGUUCAUGGCAGGAAAGAGAUGUGGACUAUGUGAAUCUGUUCCCCAGAUGGCCUCACCUGGCACCAUGUCGAGGAAGAAGGCUGCUUCACGGGAGAGAUGUCGGCUCCCUCACCUCUGAUGUCACUUCUCAGCACAUGUUCCCAAGUAAGGGUGAGGUAAUCUAGUCACUGGGUCCCAGGCCAGUGUGUCUACAGAGAUUACAUUCUUGGGAAUUCUAGUCCCUGCCAACCAUGGGCCUUGACAUUCCUGGAGCCCUAGGAGCAGGCCAGGGAAGGAGUGCUGUUUCCAGCCAACAGCCCUGGGCAGCACACUGGGACCCCCCAGCGGAAGGGCCGCUCAGUCAUCAGGCAAUCAUGAAGACCUUCUUUAUGCCCAGAGCCUUGUAGUCCCUACUUAAGGGACCUCCAUUCCCGGGACAGAAGCGGGUGCUGAGCCAGGGAGCAGGGCAGUGGGAGUUCCCAAGAGCCAACGACGACAAACCGGAGCUCACAAAGGCAGUGGUGGGCACCAUCUCACACAGGGUGCCCCUCACCUCAGAGGAGAGGAUCUGUAGCCUCAAGGAUGCUAAGAUGCGAGUGGCCCUGCCAACGCUCAGCUUCAGUGCCACACAACCUGUUACGCCUGCCUAGGAUGUCCACUUGGCAAUGCCCAGACAAGAUGGUGUGCGCUGUCAGUGUACCCUGUUCAGGCCACGUCUCUGCCUGGGGCUGGAAAUUCAUUUCAUUCAUUCAUUCAAUGCCAGUCGCUCUACCGGGCAACAAGGAUAUAAAGACAGCACAUAAUAACAAGUGCUUAGUCGCUGUGCUCUAGAGAACUUAAAACAGAGCAAGGUUAGGGGUGUCAUUCUGGUAGAACGCUUGCAUGGUGCAUGAGAGCCCUGGGUUUGACCCUCAGCGCUGCAAAAAAAAAAAAAAAAAAAAAAGGAAUAGCUAAGUAUUAAGGUGGCGUGAGGGCCAGACCAGCAACGGCCACAUGACAUCAGCAGGGGCAGUACCCAACCUGGAGGCAGCUGGAGCUGGUAGCUGUAGCUUGCAUCCCACAAGCCCCCACCACCUAUCUCAGGCCUUCUCCUCCAAAGCAGGCGCCCCUGUCUGCACCACUACCUGUACCGGUACCUGGAAGGCAGGCGGCAUUGCCCAGCCAACGAAUCAGAGAAGGGGAGAACGUGUCCCACCACAACUCACCGGGGCCCCGAGGCGUCACUCCAGGAGACAGUGUGGGCUGCUGGGCUGAGCUGAAUGGCCAGGGGCUCUCUCUGGAUGGAACGCUGUCACCAUUCCCUCACAACAGAGCUCUAGCCAGGUUCUAAGCAUGUAUGUCUUAAACUACUAAGAUUUUACUUAUGACUUUCCCAAGGCCACGGGGCUAGCGUGUGGAGGAUUUGCACUGUGGUCUGGCUCACCCCAGAGUUUCACACACACAGUUCAACACAUCCCCCAAGCAAGCCAGCAUCUGUUUUCCUAAAGGAACCCACAAUGGUCCCCUGUGUGCUGUGCCGGCUCCGAGCCAGGCUGCCUACCAAGGAGUAAAGGACGAAAUCAUCAGACACAGAGUCCCUACCCCAGCCAUGUUCCUGCCUCUCCCCAUCCCCUGCCUGGUCCUCACCAGUCUGUGUACCGACAGGAAGGCCUUCCUGCCUCCAGGAAACUCACAGAGGGUCUGGAGGGAGCUGUCCCCACUGGGUCCAAGUGGGUAGACUGGGCCUGGAGAAGGAAGGA
Psammomys obesus (fat sand rat) is the source of this 2387-nucleotide long non-coding RNA. RefSeq lists it as uncharacterized. NCBI's taxonomy places the organism in Eukaryota, Metazoa, Chordata, Mammalia, Rodentia, Muridae. The transcript is spliced from 3 exons. The record is from RefSeq and is a predicted model, not a curated record.